GUGCGAAGCGCCCGAAGCCGCGAGGCGACGGGCGUUCUCGCCGGAUGUAGGAACCGACCCGGGGACCGCCGGGGCAACCCGGCGCCCCCGAGACGGGGCGAACCACGGUGAAAUGACGGAUCGUCGGCCCCGCGCCGGCGACUCGCCGAAUGAGUUUCUGACCUAUCAACUCGAGACGGCGGGGUAGAGGCCCGCCGCGGUAACGACGGGUAACGGGGAAUCAGGGUUCGAUUCCGGAGAGGGAGCCCGAGAAACGGCUACCACUUCCAAGGAAGGCAGCAGGCGCGCAACUUACCCCUAAUCUCGAAUUCGAGGAGGUAGUGACAAGAAAUACCGAUGCGGGACCCUACGGGGUGCCCGACGUUCGGAAUGAGUACGAUUCGAACCACCUAACGAGGAACGAUUCGGAGGGCAAGUCUAGGUGCCAGCAG
This 431-nucleotide ribosomal RNA is filed under the name uncultured eukaryote. Its description in RNAcentral is "bacterial SSU rRNA". It matches the Rfam family "Eukaryotic small subunit ribosomal RNA", at positions 171 to 573 of the family's 1831-position model. The record is from RNAcentral.